GCACAUGCCUGUAAUCCCAGCUACUCAGGAGGCUGAGCAGGAGAAUCGCUUGAACUGGAGAGGUGGAGGUUGCGGUAAGCUGAGAUCGCACCACUGCACUCCAGCAUGGGUAACAAGAGCAAAACUCCAUCUCAAAAAAAAACAAACAAAAAAAAACAAAAGUCACAACCCAAAUAUGAAGCAAACAAACUUUCAGAUGAUGAUGGUACAGUGUGUUUAUAACACUAACAACUCACUUUUCUCCCCACACAUAGCAAUCGUAAAAAUAAAAACAGCCAGGCACAGUGGCUCAUGCCUAUAAUCCCAGCGCUUUGGGACACAGAGUUGGGCAGAUCACCUGAUGUCAGGAAAUCGAGGCCAGCCUGGCCAAUAUGGCAAAACCCCGUCUCUACUAAAAAUACAAAAAAAAAAAAAAAAAUAGCUAGGUGUGGCGGUGAGUGCCUGUAAUCCCAAGUACCUGAGAUGCUGAGGCAGGAGAGUUACUUGAACCCAGGAGGUGGAGGUUGCAGUGAGCUGAGAUCGCAGCAUUGCACUCCAGCCUGGGUGACAAGAGUGAAACUCCAUCUCAAAAAAAUAAAUUAAUAAAAAAUAAAACAAAACAAAACAAAAACAAAGGCUUGGGCACAGUGGCUCAUGCCCAUAAUCCUAGCAUUUUGGGAGGCUGAGACAGGAUUGCUUGAGUCCAGGAGUUCAAGACCAGCCUGGACAAAAUAGCAAGACACUAUCUGUACAAAAAAUUAAACAAUUAGCUGGGCAUGGUGGCAUGUGCCUGUAGUCUCAGCUACUUGGGAGGCUGAGGUGGAAGGAUCACUUGAGCCCAGGAGAUUGAGUCUGCAGUGGGCUAUGAUUAUGCCACUACACUCCAGCCUGGGAGACAGAAUAAGACUCUGUCAAAAAAUAAUAAUAAUAAUAACAAAAAAGGAAAAGAAAAAGAAAACUAAAAGAUAUAGUCAGGCUCAAAUACCAGAUAAAGAUAUCCAAAAUCCAGAGAGCAAUAGAAACUGUGAACAGCGAAAAGGACUGAAACUGGGUAGCUGGUAGUUUGGCUUUUGUAGGGCAAAAGGGAUUGAAAAUGCUUCAUAGGAGAUGGGAGACUGGAGCCAGGCACAAGCUCAAAGACCUGAACAGUGGUGGGGCACCCUCAAUGUUAUGAAGAGAGAAUGAAAAUGAGCUGCUCCUAACUGCUGCUUGGGACCGUAGGUUCUAGUGAGCUGUAGGCCUAAGGUUUACAAGGCCAUAGCCUUGCAACCAAGAGAUAAGUCAAACACCCAAUGUUUAUGACUAGAUCUGCCCUGCUCUUAAUAUCUUCUUUGAUUCACUGCUAGUAGACUGUGUUCUGAUUUAGAGACCCGGACUGUGGAAUAGAAGCAAUAAAAAAACUGAUGGGCAAGGGAAGGUAAGGAGAGGGGUUGAGAAAGACAGAAAAAGAGGCUGGGCAGAGUAAGAUUCUGUCAGGAAAGAAAGAAAGAGAGAGCAACCCAAAUAUGAAGCAAACAAACUUUCAGAUGAUGAUGGUACAGUGUGUUUAUAACA
This 1533-nucleotide long non-coding RNA is filed under the name Homo sapiens (human). RNAcentral describes it as "non-protein coding lnc-UGCG-1:3". The record is from RNAcentral. Lineage: Eukaryota; Metazoa; Chordata; Mammalia; Primates; Hominidae.